Molecule: long non-coding RNA, 297 nt
Filed under: Oryza brachyantha (malo sina)
Lineage: Eukaryota; Viridiplantae; Streptophyta; Magnoliopsida; Poales; Poaceae
Description: long non-coding RNA (OBRA_LNC001079)
Source: RNAcentral
CCUUGUGGUGAAGGUUUUCUCCUGAACUGGCAUGUCAUGGCUAAGUGCAGUGCUACCAAAACCACGAAAAUCGUGACGGUUAUAGCGGUUAUCGUGCCUACCUAUAUAGCGUGGUAACGGUAGUAUCGUGAUAACAGCCUUGAAUUAAAACAAAAUAUAAAAAUAACCAAGAGUAUCUCAGAACAAUUGUGUUGCUUUUUGGUAAUUAGUUGAGUUUAAUAAAACUUCUAUUAUUUAAAAAUAGGGAUAGUGCUGCUUACGAGACUGAGGACACACCUUCUCAUGAAGAAGUGAUGU